AGCUUUCGGACAGGAGCGAUCGACGGUAUGAAGGUUUUGAGUUCCCACCGCAUGUCGGGACGCUCCCAGCAUCCUUGGCUCGAAUUUUGGCCAACCGCAUGCGGUAACACACGGGAGACCAGUUUCCGUCCCAUCUCCGCAAUGGAUGAAGAGGGGGACGACGAUUUGUGACACCCAGGCAAACGUGCCCUCGGCCAGAAGGCUUGGGGCGCAACUUGCGUUCAAAGACUCAAUGGUUCACGGGAUUCUGCAAUUCACACCAAGUAUCGCAUUUCGCUACGUUCUUCAUCGAUGCGAGAGCCGAGAUAUCCGUUGCCGAGAGUCGUUUUASACUUUAGAUCGCAGCACAACAUCCGCACAAACACCGUCUCCGGGUCAACGAAUGCAGGCUGUUCGGUUAUAUGUUCCUUGACACUUUUCGUGCCGUGGUUUUGUGAUAUCCGGAAGCAACGCAUAUGACCAGACCGAAACUUUACUCUCGAUCUUGACAACAUGCGAAACCACGGAUUCSGCAAGCACGGGAUCAACUAAKAACCCGGCUUACCGUGAGUAGUGAUCGUUAGUUCACGGGUCAUUCUGUUUUGGACAGGUAUCAACRAUGAUCCUUCCGCAGGUUCACCUACGGAAACCUUGUUACGACU
RNAcentral lists this unclassified non-coding RNA (641 nucleotides) under Erysimum virescens. RNAcentral describes it as "sequence contains ITS1, 5.8S rRNA gene and ITS2". Lineage: Eukaryota; Viridiplantae; Streptophyta; Magnoliopsida; Brassicales; Brassicaceae. The record is from RNAcentral.